ACGCACGCUGGCGGCGUGCUUAACCCAUGCAAGUCGAACGGAAAGGCCCUGCUUUUGUGGGGUGCUCGAGUGGCGAACGGGUGAGUAACACGUGAGUAACCUGCCCUUGACUUUGGGAUAACUUCAGGAAACUGGGGCUAAUACCGGAUAGGAGCUCCUGCUGCAUGGUGGGGGUUGGAAAGUUUCGGCGGUUGGGGAUGGACUCGCGGCUUAUCAGCUUGUUGGUGGGGUAGUGGCUUACCAAGGCUUUGACGGGUAGCCGGCCUGAGAGGGUGACCGGCCACAUUGGGACUGAGAUACGGCCCAGACUCCUACGGGAGGCAGCAGUGGGGAAUAUUGCACAAUGGGCGGAAGCCUGAUGCAGCAACGCCGCGUGCGGGAUGACGGCCUUCGGGUUGUAAACCGCUUUCGCCUGUGACGAAGCGUGGGUGACGGUAAUGGGUAAAGAAGCACCGGCUAACUACGUG
RNAcentral lists this ribosomal RNA (467 nucleotides) under uncultured bacterium. RNAcentral's name for it is "partial 16S ribosomal RNA". It matches the Rfam family "Bacterial small subunit ribosomal RNA", at positions 29 to 507 of the family's 1533-position model. The record is from RNAcentral.